RNAcentral lists this ribosomal RNA (81 nucleotides) under Desmodesmus sp. Helwan2. RNAcentral's name for it is "partial 5.8S ribosomal RNA". Lineage: Eukaryota; Viridiplantae; Chlorophyta; Chlorophyceae; Sphaeropleales; Scenedesmaceae. The record is from RNAcentral.
CCGAACCAUCGAAUCUUUGAACGCAUAUUGCGCUCGACUCCUCGGAGAAGAGCAUGUCUAGCCUCAGCGUCGGUUUACACC